Molecule: non-coding RNA, 944 nt
Organism: Prunus avium (sweet cherry)
Lineage: Eukaryota; Viridiplantae; Streptophyta; Magnoliopsida; Rosales; Rosaceae
Source: RefSeq, a predicted model, not a curated record
UAGUUCGCGGGUCUUCAUUUCGCUCAAAAUUUAUCCAUGUGUUUCGCCCUAUAUUCAAUUCCUAUUUCCUCUUCGAUAAGCCAUUUUCCUUCAUUCCAAAACCAAAAAUAUCAGAGUCUGGUUUUCCACUCUUUCUUCAUUUCUUAAAUUGGAAACAGAAAUCCAAAGAGAAAAAAGUUGGAAAUCUCAAAAUUCGUGUUUGGGUAGGGUUCUCCUUUCUCCUCUCUCCUUACAUCGUUUCCCUCUCUCAUCUGCACAACUAGACUUCUCCAUUUUCAGAUCUGGUUUUCAUAUUUUUAAUUUCUCUUUGGACCAAGAAUUUGUAGACAAGAUGAUGAUUUCAUAUGAUCUUGUCAGCUUCUUCUCAUGGUACUCAUCUUGCAGCUCAGGAUUUCACUUUCUAAUUUCUGUUUAGAUACAUUUGCAGACAAGGUGAGGAUUCUAUACAUUAGUUUUAUACUUAGUUGCUGAUGUAGUUUAAAUUUUUGAGAGCUGCAUUCAUCUUAUCUUGUCUCCAUCCUUGCCCAUAGUCAUAUAUGCAAUAGUUUUCCAGAUUUUCCCAAAAUCAAGUACCGUUAGUGAAUAUAUGAUCAGGAAACCUGUACAAAGUGGCUGUGGAGAAAAAGUGCUCACCUCUGAAUUUCAGUUCUUUCUUUCUUUCUUUCUUCUCAGUCUUCUCUAUGUUUGUAUGUGUUUCGGUCAACAUCUUGUUUGUGCAUGUUAUAAUACUGAUUUGUUGUUGCUCUGAUUUAGUGCAGUGCAGAUGAAAAGAAAAUGGGUUAUUUUGCUAACAUUUCAGAUGGUGCGUAGCCUUUGCCAUAGGUAGUUUUAUUAUUAAAGAUUUGAGCUUUCUAAUUUAUAUUUGGAGUUUAACCUUUCAUUCUUGGGCUGUGAUUUUUGAAGUUUUUAGUUUUUCAAGUUCUAUUUGGACAAUACAUUUGCAU